Molecule: ribosomal RNA, 1444 nt
Filed under: Weissella confusa
Lineage: Bacteria; Bacillati; Bacillota; Bacilli; Lactobacillales; Lactobacillaceae
Description: bacterial SSU rRNA
Rfam family: Bacterial small subunit ribosomal RNA
Source: RNAcentral
UGCAAGUCGAACGCUUUGUGGUUCAACUGAUUUGAAGAGCUUGCUCAGAUAUGACGAUGGACAUUGCAAAGAGUGGCGAACGGGUGAGUAACACGUGGGAAACCUACCUCUUAGCAGGGGAUAACAUUUGGAAACAGAUGCUAAUACCGUAUAACAAUGACAACCGCAUGGUUGUUAUUUAAAAGAUGGUUCUGCUAUCACUAAGAGAUGGUCCCGCGGUGCAUUAGCUAGUUGGUAAGGUAAUGGCUUACCAAGGCGAUGAUGCAUAGCCGAGUUGAGAGACUGAUCGGCCACAAUGGGACUGAGACACGGCCCAUACUCCUACGGGAGGCAGCAGUAGGGAAUCUUCCACAAUGGGCGAAAGCCUGAUGGAGCAACGCCGCGUGUGUGAUGAAGGGUUUCGGCUCGUAAAACACUGUUGUAAGAGAAGAAUGACAUUGAGAGUAACUGUUCAAUGUGUGACGGUAUCUUACCAGAAAGGAACGGCUAAAUACGUGCCAGCAGCCGCGGUAAUACGUAUGUUCCAAGCGUUAUCCGGAUUUAUUGGGCGUAAAGCGAGCGCAGACGGUUAUUUAAGUCUGAAGUGAAAGCCCUCAGCUCAACUGAGGAAUUGCUUUGGAAACUGGAUGACUUGAGUGCAGUAGAGGAAAGUGGAACUCCAUGUGUAGCGGUGAAAUGCGUAGAUAUAUGGAAGAACACCAGUGGCGAAGGCGGCUUUCUGGACUGUAACUGACGUUGAGGCUCGAAAGUGUGGGUAGCAAACAGGAUUAGAUACCCUGGUAGUCCACACCGUAAACGAUGAGUGCUAGGUGUUUGAGGGUUUCCGCCCUUAAGUGCCGCAGCUAACGCAUUAAGCACUCCGCCUGGGGAGUACGACCGCAAGGUUGAAACUCAAAGGAAUUGACGGGGACCCGCACAAGCGGUGGAGCAUGUGGUUUAAUUCGAAGCAACGCGAAGAACCUUACCAGGUCUUGACAUCCCUUGACAACUCCAGAGAUGGAGCGUUCCCUUCGGGGACAAGGUGACAGGUGGUGCAUGGUUGUCGUCAGCUCGUGUCGUGAGAUGUUGGGUUAAGUCCCGCAACGAGCGCAACCCUUAUUACUAGUUGCCAGCAUUCAGUUGGGCACUCUAGUGAGACUGCCGGUGACAAACCGGAGGAAGGUGGGGAUGACGUCAAAUCAUCAUGCCCCUUAUGACCUGGGCUACACACGUGCUACAAUGGCGUAUACAACGAGUUGCCAACCCGCGAGGGUGAGCUAAUCUCUUAAAGUACGUCUCAGUUCGGAUUGUAGGCUGCAACUCGCCUACAUGAAGUCGGAAUCGCUAGUAAUCGCGGAUCAGCACGCCGCGGUGAAUACGUUCCCGGGUCUUGUACACACCGCCCGUCACACCAUGAGAGUUUGUAACACCCAAAGCCGGUGGGGUAACCUUCGGGAGCCAGCCG